This 197-nucleotide long non-coding RNA is filed under the name Macaca mulatta (Rhesus monkey). Its description in RNAcentral is "lncRNA (ENSMMUG00000059457.1)". The record is from RNAcentral. Lineage: Eukaryota; Metazoa; Chordata; Mammalia; Primates; Cercopithecidae.
GCGGGAUCGCGAGGGCGCGAGCCGGGAAGGGCCCCGGCGCGGCGGGGCGGGCUGCCCCGGAGCUCGGCGGGGGUCGCGGCGGAGACAAGGCGGCCGCUGCGGGGAGAUGCCGCGCGAGGAAGUGGAUCGGGCGGGUACGCCGGGUGUGCGCACCUGCGCGCCGGGCAGCGGGCUCUAAACGAUCAGUGGGACAGGAA